GAUGAACGCUGACAGAAUGCUUAACACAUGCAAGUCGAUGGGGAAGUGGUGCUUGCACCAUGGCAACCAUGGCGGACGGGUGAGUAACGCGUAAGGGACUUACCUGCAGGACUGGGAUAACAGGGGGAAACUCCUGACAAGACCGGAUAAUGUCAUGGAGCUGCAUGGCUUUAUGAUGAAAGGAGACGCCUGCGGAGAGCCUUGCGUCCUAUUAGCUAGUUGGUGAGGUAAUGGCUCACCAAGGCGAAGAUAGGUAGCCGGCCUGAGAGGGUGGACGGCCACAAGGGGACUGAGAUACGUCCCUGACUCCUACGGGAGGCAGCAGUGGGGAAUAUUGGACAAUGGGGGCACCCCUGAUCCAGCAAUUCUGUGUGCACGAAGAAGGUUUUCGGAGUGUAAAGUGCUUUCAGCAGGGAAGAAGUAAGUGACGGUACCUGCAGAAGAAGCGACGGCUAAAUACGUG
RNAcentral lists this ribosomal RNA (463 nucleotides) under uncultured bacterium. RNAcentral's name for it is "partial 16S ribosomal RNA". It matches the Rfam family "Bacterial small subunit ribosomal RNA", at positions 28 to 507 of the family's 1533-position model. The record is from RNAcentral.